Molecule: ribosomal RNA, 282 nt
Filed under: uncultured bacterium
Lineage: Bacteria
Description: partial 16S ribosomal RNA
Rfam family: Bacterial small subunit ribosomal RNA
Source: RNAcentral
UGCAAGUCGAACGGAAAGGCCCUGCUUGCAGGGUACUCGAGUGGCGAACGGGUGAGUAACACGUGGGUGAUCUGCCUUGCACUUCGGGAUAAGCCUGGGAAACUGGGUCUAAUACCGGAUAGGAGCCUAUUUUUAGUGUGAUGGUGGUAAAGUUUUCUCGGUGUAGGAUGAGCUCGCGGCCUAUCAGCUUGUUGGUGGGGUAAUGGUCUACCAAGGCGGCGACGGGUAGCCGGCCUGAGAGGGUGGACGGCCACAUUGGGACUGAGAUACGGCCCAGACUCC